ACCGACAUCAGGGAUUCGUUUUGGGAACCAUUGCCGACCGCCAGGUAAGAGUGCAUGCCCAGCUCGCGCAUCUGCUGCUCGCCAAUGACACGGGUAAUUACGUUUUUGCUGUACGAGUCUGCCAGCUGACGCGCCUGAGAGGCCAGGUAAGCGGCGUUACAGAUAUUUGGCGGCAUGUUGCCCAGAUCUUUCGC
RNAcentral lists this antisense RNA (194 nucleotides) under uncultured Phytobacter sp. RNAcentral describes it as "Yersinia sRNA 276". It matches the Rfam family "Yersinia sRNA 276". The record is from RNAcentral. Lineage: Bacteria; Pseudomonadati; Pseudomonadota; Gammaproteobacteria; Enterobacterales; Enterobacteriaceae.